UCGGGAAUAUUGCGCAAUGGAGGAAACUCUGACGCAGUGACGCCGCGUAUAGGAAGAAGGUCUUCGGAUUGUAAACUAUUGUCGUUAGGGAAGAAAAAGGACAGUACCUAAGGAGGAAGCUCCGGCUAACUACGUGCCAGCAGCCGCGGUAAUACGUAGGGAGCAAGCGUUAUCCGGAUUUAUUGGGUGUAAAGGGUGCGUAGACGGGAUAAUAAGUUAGUUGUGAAAUCCCUCGGCUCAACUGAGGAACUGCAACUAAAACUGUUAUUCUUGAGUGUUGGAGAGGAAAGCGGAAUUCCUAGU
RNAcentral lists this ribosomal RNA (303 nucleotides) under uncultured bacterium. Its description in RNAcentral is "bacterial SSU rRNA". It matches the Rfam family "Bacterial small subunit ribosomal RNA", at positions 355 to 674 of the family's 1533-position model. The record is from RNAcentral.